Molecule: transfer RNA, 76 nt
Filed under: Acidobacteriota bacterium
Lineage: Bacteria; Pseudomonadati; Acidobacteriota
Description: Acidobacteria bacterium (sediment metagenome) tRNA-His
Rfam family: tRNA
About the family: Transfer RNA (tRNA) molecules are approximately 80 nucleotides in length. Their secondary structure includes four short double-helical elements and three loops (D, anti-codon, and T loops).
Source: RNAcentral
GUGAGCGUAGCUCAGCUGGCAGAGCCCCGGACUGUGGCUCCGGUUGUCGCGGGUUCGACCCCCGUCGCUCACCCCA